This 303-nucleotide ribosomal RNA is filed under the name Clostridioides difficile. Its description in RNAcentral is "bacterial LSU rRNA". It matches the Rfam family "Bacterial large subunit ribosomal RNA", at positions 1189 to 1497 of the family's 2925-position model. The record is from RNAcentral. Lineage: Bacteria; Bacillati; Bacillota; Clostridia; Peptostreptococcales; Peptostreptococcaceae.
UACUACCGAAGCUACGGCAUCAGUAAUGAUGGGUAGGGGAGCUUCCCAUACGGGUGGAAGCAUGACCGUAAGGACAUGUGGACAGUAUGGGAGUGAGAAUGUUGGCAUGAGUAGCGAGAUGUGGGUGGGAAUCCCACAGGCCGUAAACCCAAGGUUUCCAGGGGAAGGUUCGUCCGCCCUGGGUUAGUCGGGACCUAAGCUGAGGCCGAAAGGCGUAGGUGAUGGACAACAGGUUGAUAUUCCUGUACUACCGAUAACCGUUUGAGAGAAGGGAUGACACAGUAGGAUAAGCUAAGCACACUG